Molecule: small RNA, 311 nt
Filed under: Pongo abelii (Sumatran orangutan)
Lineage: Eukaryota; Metazoa; Chordata; Mammalia; Primates; Hominidae
Description: sense intronic
Rfam family: Small Nucleolar RNA SNORD64 (bases 238-304)
Source: RNAcentral
CUUCAUGUAGAUUGCUGUGUAUGUCUUUUUCUUCAUAAUUCACCUUAAUUCUGUGUGCUUUGAAUGAUACUGUUGUUGUUACUGUUGUUUUACAUCCAUUGUCACAUAAAACUCUUAUCAUUUAUUCUUCCAGGCCAGCGACUGUCCUUAUGGGUUAGAGGUACACUGUCUGCAGGAAUUUAUUUUUUUACAUAUUUUUACUAGUUGAUGGGAAAGACAUUGGGAAAGACCUGGGCUGGAUUUGUGAUGAGCUGUGUUUACUGAGCAUGAUGAAGUAAAGCUCAACGUGAUUACUCUGAAGUCCAGCCUUA